GUGGGUGUAGCUCAGUGGUUGAGCAUGUGCUUUAUAUGUACAAGGUCCUAGGUUCAAUCCCUGGUACCUCCU
This 72-nucleotide transfer RNA is filed under the name Dasypus novemcinctus (nine-banded armadillo). RNAcentral's name for it is "tRNA-Ile (TAT) (tRNA-Ile-TAT-4-1)". It matches the Rfam family "tRNA". From Rfam's summary of the family: Transfer RNA (tRNA) molecules are approximately 80 nucleotides in length. The record is from RNAcentral. Lineage: Eukaryota; Metazoa; Chordata; Mammalia; Cingulata; Dasypodidae.